AUGUAUUUGGUAUUCUUAAGGGUUUUCAUCAUAGUUAUUCAAUUGUCGCUGAGUCUUGCAUUACAAAAUGGUAAACACAAUUUGGCGGAGUGGAUAGUUCGACUCAAAGACUCGAUCCAAAAAGACAAAGUAAUGGUAGAUGAAAACCUGGAAACGAUAGGUAACCAAUUGAAACGGACAGACUUGUGUAACGAUGCUUUGGCUAAUUUGAGGAUGUAUAAAACUCUCCUGGAAAACGAGCUUCUCAACCUCACAGCCGCUGUGAUGCAAAUGUCAACGGAAGAGGAGAGGUUGAGGAUUUUAUUGCGAGAAGAACGGAGAGCAGUGAAAAAUCUAACUGGACAUGUAGAUGAGUAUUUGAGUGCAAAAAAUAAUUAUAGUAACGAGCUGAACCAUUUAAAAGAGGAGAAUAAGAAGCUUGAAAUGCAGCUGGAAAAUCAAACGGCUGAAAUGAGUUUUCAGAAGAUCGUAGACGUACACUCUGGUAUGAAUGUGAUAGAGCUUGUAUUUCGUGAGCUCUUCGGAGAGAAGAAGAGGGUCAAUCAGUGGAGCAAAUUUUUUAAGACAGUGCAAGCGAUAGUUCAUCAGAAGAAUGCAAACACAGCAGCUAAUGAGACAUCCGAAAAACUGAAAAAAACUUUAAAAGCCCCCCGAAAAGAAUUUUGA
Molecule: long non-coding RNA, 666 nt
Filed under: Bemisia tabaci
Lineage: Eukaryota; Metazoa; Arthropoda; Insecta; Hemiptera; Aleyrodidae
Description: lncRNA ENSASIAIIG003337
Source: RNAcentral